The submitters of this non-coding RNA (165 nucleotides) gave its source as unclassified sequences. The record is from Rfam.
AUAUUAGACGAAAUUGGUUUGGCCGCCAAUAAUAGUUAUUAGAUUCUCUUAGAGAAUAUAUAACGUCAAUGGUUCGUCGUGUACGAUCCUUUUCGAGUUCCGCAGAAAAUUACGUAAGUAAGAGUUUGGAGCAUUUUUAAAAUGGGCCAACAUUUUGUUAGUAUU